This 520-nucleotide ribosomal RNA is filed under the name Hydrophis macdowelli (McDowells seasnake). RNAcentral describes it as "partial 16S ribosomal RNA". It matches the Rfam family "Bacterial large subunit ribosomal RNA", at positions 1814 to 2607 of the family's 2925-position model. Lineage: Eukaryota; Metazoa; Chordata; Lepidosauria; Squamata; Elapidae. The record is from RNAcentral.
CAUAACCUUUAGCUAAACCAAUAUUAAAGGCAACGCCUGCCCAGUGAAUAAUUAAACGGCCGCGGUACCCUAACCGUGCAAAGGUAGCGUAAUCAUUUGUCUAUUAAUUGUAGACCUGUAUGAAAGGCAUAAUGAGGGUUUAACUGUCUCUUUUAGUAAAUCAAUUAAACUGAUCUCCUAGUCCAAAAGCUAGGAUACCAACAUAAGACCAGAAGACCCUGUGAAACUUUAACUAAAAUAUUAAAGCCUAUAAUAUCUACUUUAGGUUGGGGCGACCUUGGAAAACAAAGAAACUUCCAUAUACAUAUUAUACAAUAAUAUGUUACCGGCCAACAAGCCUACAACGACCCAGCAUAGCUGAUAAUUGAACCAAGCUACUCCAGGGAUAACAGCGCUAUCUUCUUCAAGAGCCCAUAUCAAAAAGAAGGUUUACGACCUCGAUGUUGGAUCAGGACAUCCUAAUGGUGCAACCGCUAUUAAGGGUUCGUUUGUUCAACGAUUAAUAGUCCUACGUGAUCUG